RNAcentral lists this ribosomal RNA (152 nucleotides) under Hortaea werneckii. Its description in RNAcentral is "5.8S ribosomal RNA". The stretch from base 40 to 152 matches the Rfam family "5.8S ribosomal RNA", at positions 1 to 113 of the family's 154-position model. Rfam says of the family: 5.8S ribosomal RNA (5.8S rRNA) is a component of the large subunit of the eukaryotic ribosome. It is transcribed by RNA polymerase I as part of the 45S precursor that also contains 18S and 28S rRNA. The record is from RNAcentral. Lineage: Eukaryota; Fungi; Ascomycota; Dothideomycetes; Mycosphaerellales; Teratosphaeriaceae.
UGCAUCUCUUGCGUCUGAGUGAUACAUACAAUCAAUCAAAACUUUCAACAACGGAUCUCUUGGUUCUGGCAUCGAUGAAGAACGCAGCGAAAUGCGAUAAGUAAUGUGAAUUGCAGAAUUCAGUGAAUCAUCGAAUCUUUGAACGCACAUUG